Molecule: non-coding RNA, 215 nt
Organism: Pelobates cultripes (western spadefoot toad)
Lineage: Eukaryota; Metazoa; Chordata; Amphibia; Anura; Pelobatidae
Source: the annotation of a GenBank genome assembly
GCGGAAUCACAGUGUCCAUUUAAAUGGAGCACCUCCUGGGUAGAUGGCCGGCUGUUGAGCCAGUACUUAUGUGCAGAGACCUUUGCUCUCUUAGAAGCAACUGUCAUUUAUUCUUUCGUUAGAUAAGUAAUUUAAUAUAAUUUAAUAUUCUAUUAAUUAAAUUAUUGUCAGCUCUUAGAGUGGAGCUAACCUAAUGGUAAUGCUGCCAUGGUUAG